RNAcentral lists this long non-coding RNA (210 nucleotides) under Lathyrus oleraceus (garden pea). RNAcentral describes it as "Pisum sativum (pea) long non-coding RNA (PSAT_LNC004296)". Lineage: Eukaryota; Viridiplantae; Streptophyta; Magnoliopsida; Fabales; Fabaceae. The record is from RNAcentral.
CAAUGUUAAUCAUCCGUCUUUCCCGUUCACAUCAAUCUCACCUGACAAAGAGUUCAGCACAAAAACCAUGUCUAUGAUGGGAUAUAUUUGGUGCAAGGAGCGGAGAAAAUAUAAGUUUGUUAGAAGAGGAUACGUUCCUCCAAGGGCUGACAGUGAUGAAAGCGAAGAACAAGACGAUGAAGUGGAAAAUGAAGAAGAAGAAGAAGAAGA